Molecule: non-coding RNA, 308 nt
Organism: Arachis ipaensis
Lineage: Eukaryota; Viridiplantae; Streptophyta; Magnoliopsida; Fabales; Fabaceae
Source: RefSeq, a predicted model, not a curated record
GUCUGUUGGUUGUCAGGUGCAAGCCUUCUUUGCUGCAGUGAAGGAAUUGUCACGGAAAGAAGUGCAUUAUGGUUCUUAUGCAACAUCAGAGCAGGUGAUUGCGGCUGGUGAUCUUUGUGCUAUUUGUCAAGAGAAGAUGCAUGCUCCAAUAUUACUUCGUUGUAAACACAUUUUCUGUGAAGAUUGUGUAUCAGAGUGGUGAGACUUGCUUUGUUGUUAUAUAUACUGGCCUGCAUAGUAAUCUGAAAUUAUUUUGUUAUUUAUUUUGAAUUGGCACUUGGUUACCUGUAUGUAUGAGUUUUUUUAUU